GUACUUACCUAGCAGGGGAAAUACCAUGAUCACCAGGUCUCUUGUAGAAGUGGUUUUCCCAGAUUGAGGCCUGUCCCUUGUACUCCAGGUAUGCUGACCCCUGCUAGUUUUCCCAAAUGCAGGAAACUUGACUGCACAAUUUUGUGGCAAAGAGAGAUUACUUUCUUGCUUC
Molecule: small nuclear RNA, 172 nt
Filed under: Crocodylus porosus (Australian saltwater crocodile)
Lineage: Eukaryota; Metazoa; Chordata; Crocodylia; Crocodylidae
Description: U1 spliceosomal RNA (ENSCPRG00005008923.1)
Rfam family: U1 spliceosomal RNA
About the family: U1 is a small nuclear RNA (snRNA) component of the spliceosome (involved in pre-mRNA splicing).
Source: Rfam by way of RNAcentral